CCUGCUUCCGUCACAAGCCUCAUGUAACUGUGGGGAGAUUGCUUGCACCCCUGUGCCUCUGUCUGCAUCAGAAAAAUAAUGAACAGAAAUGCAGUGAGGUACAGCACACAGCCUGGAGAAAGACUCUGCAGCACUUGGUGUGGUGAUCUUGUGAAGGGCUUAUCUGAUCCAGAAGUAUCAGUCCUACUGAUCUCACUUUUCUUUGCAUCUGCAAGCCACAGGAUUUUAGACUGAGACUCUUACCUCAGGUAAGUUCUGGUUGAAUUAUGGCACAUAUCUUAGGCAUGUAGUAAACUUUAAUUUUUGUUGUUGAUGCUGUUAUGCUCUUCAGCAAUGCAUGCAAAGGGUAAUUACCUUUACCAUAAAAGAUGUGUACUUUCUCUCUAAUCUGGCUUUUUUUCUAGCUUCAUUUUUUUCCCAUCUUUCUGAUAUCUUUUCCCUCUGAAUAAUUGUAGUCUACGAUCAGG
This 467-nucleotide long non-coding RNA is filed under the name Melopsittacus undulatus (budgerigar). RNAcentral describes it as "lncRNA (ENSMUNG00000019412.1)". Lineage: Eukaryota; Metazoa; Chordata; Aves; Psittaciformes; Psittaculidae. The record is from RNAcentral.